RNAcentral lists this RNase P RNA (321 nucleotides) under Rickettsiales bacterium. RNAcentral's name for it is "RNase P RNA component class A". It matches the Rfam family "Bacterial RNase P class A". Rfam says of the family: Ribonuclease P (RNase P) is a ubiquitous endoribonuclease, found in archaea, bacteria and eukarya as well as chloroplasts and mitochondria. Its best characterised activity is the generation of mature 5'-ends of tRNAs by cleaving the 5'-leader elements of precursor-tRNAs. Lineage: Bacteria; Pseudomonadati; Pseudomonadota; Alphaproteobacteria; Rickettsiales. The record is from RNAcentral.
GCAGGUGUCUGCGAUGUGGCGCUGGCCCGCAAGGGCGGUGAGGAAAGUCCGGACUGCGCAUAGCAAGGAUAGCGGCCAACGGCCGCGCGGGGCAACCCGACGAUCAGAGCAGCAGAGACGAGCAGAUUCAGUUCUGAGUGAAACGAGCAAUCUCUAUCCGCAGCAACCCCGAAUAGGUUCCAGCAUGGGGGCUAUGACCCUGGAACGGGUAGGGGGCAACAGAGGCGCGCGGCAACGCGCGUUCAAGACUAAUCAUAUCGCAUGGCGCGGGUUGAGAUACCGGCGCCGGGACAGAAUCCGGCUUACAGGGCACCUGAAAAA